Molecule: long non-coding RNA, 360 nt
Filed under: Ananas comosus (pineapple)
Lineage: Eukaryota; Viridiplantae; Streptophyta; Magnoliopsida; Poales; Bromeliaceae
Description: long non-coding RNA (ACOM_LNC022298)
Source: RNAcentral
GGCUGUCCAAGAUAUAGGGUAAAGCUGGCUACUAUAAACUUGUUGAUUCAUAUAUGGACAUUAUUUGAUGUGUAAUUUAUAUUAUCUUUUAGAUGCAGGAGAGUAACGCAUGUAAUUAUUUUUAUUGGUACGACCCACAAUUUACGAGCCAGAGUAUCUCAGUGGUUAAUGGUUUAUUAGAAAGCAAUAAUAAGUUGCGGGAAGAAGCCGCAGUUGCAGCAAAGAGAAAAAGAUGGAAAUGGGCCGUUUUGUCAUAUAUGGGGUAGUAAGUGGGAUUUUGUGGUCAUCUUGCUAUAACUUGUGUGGCAAGGGUACAUGACCACCCUGUAUCAUGCAGGCUGUAGUAAUAUAUAUAUUAGU